Molecule: ribosomal RNA, 857 nt
Filed under: Chloroflexi bacterium enrichment culture
Lineage: Bacteria; Bacillati; Chloroflexota
Description: bacterial SSU rRNA
Rfam family: Bacterial small subunit ribosomal RNA
Source: RNAcentral
GAUGAACGUUGGCGGCGUGCUAAUACAUGCAAGUCGAACGAAGACUGUAGUAAUACUGUCUUAGUGGCGAACGGGUGAGUAACGCGUGGGUGACCUGCCCCGAAGUGUGGGAUAACAGUUCGAAAGGAUUGCUAAUACUGCAUAAUAUCCAAGAGAUUAGACGCUUUUGGAUUAAAGGAGUAAUUCGCUUCGGGAGGGGCCCGCGUCCCAUCAGCUAGUUGGUAAGGUAAUGGCUUACCAAGGCGAUGACGGGUAGGGGACCUGAGAGGGUGGCCCCCCACAAUGGAACUGAAACACGGUCCAUACACCUACGGGUGGCAGCAGUAGGGAAUAUUAGUAAUGGGCGAAAGCCUGAACUAGCAACGUCGCGUGUGCGAAGAAGGCCUUCGGGUUGUAAAGCACUUUUUGAGAGGAUGAGGAAGGACGGUACUCUCAGAAUAAGUCUCGGCUAACUACGUGCCAGCAACCACGGUAACACGUAGGAGGCAAACGUUAUCCGGAUUUACUGGGCGUAAAGCGCGUGUAGGUGGUUUGGUAAGUAGGGCGUGAAAGCUCCUGGCUCAACUGGGAGAGGACGUUCUAAACUGCCAAGCUUGAGGAUGGUAGAGGGAGGUGGAAUUCCGGGUGUAGCGGUGGAAUGCGCAGAUAUCCGGAGGAACACCAGUGGCGAAGGCGGCCUCCUGGACCACUCCUGACACUCAGACGCGAAAGCUAGGGUAGCAAACGGGAUUAGAGACCCCGGUAGUCCUAGCCCUAAACGAUGUAGACUUGGCGUCGGUGGUUUAAUCGCCAUCGGUGUCGUAGCUAACGCGUUAAGUCUACCGCCUGGGGACUACGGCCGCAAGGUUAAAACUCAA